CGGAAGGCCCUUCGGGGUACUCGAGCGGCGAACGGGUGAGUAACACGUGAGCAACCUGCCCCAGGCUUUGGGAUAACCCCGGGAAACCGGGGCUAAUACCGGAUAUGACCUUCGGACGCAUGUUCGGGGGUGGAAAGUUUUUCGGCUUGGGAUGGGCUCGCGGCCUAUCAGCUUGUUGGUGGGGUGAUGGCCUACCAAGGCGACGACGGGUAGCCGGCCUGAGAGGGCGACCGGCCACACUGGGACUGAGACACGGCCCAGACUCCUACGGGAGGCAGCAGUGGGGAAUAUUGCACAAUGGGCGGAAGCCUGAUGCAGCGACGCCGCGUGAGGGAUGACGGCCUUCGGGUUGUAAACCUCUUUCAGCAGGGACGAAGCGCAAGUGACGGUACCUGCAGAAGAAGCGCCGGCCAACUACGUGCCAGCAGCCGCGGUAAGACGUAGGGCGCGAGCGUUGUCCGGAUUUAUUGGGCGUAAAGAGCUCGUAGGCGGCUUGUCGCGUCGACUGUGAAAACCCGUGGCUCAACUGCGGGCCUGCAGUCGAUACGGGCAGGCUAGAGUUCGGUAGGGGAGACUGGAAUUCCUGGUGUAGCGGUGAAAUGCGCAGAUAUCAGGAGGAACACCGGUGGCGAAGGCGGGUCUCUGGGCCGAUACUGACGCUGAGGAGCGAAAGCGUGGGGAGCGAACAGGAUUAGAUACCCUGGUAGUCCACGCUGUAAACGUUGGGCGCUAGGUGUGGGGGGCCUCUCCGGUUCUCUGUGCCGCAGCUAACGCAUUAAGCGCCCCGCCUGGGGAGUAC
Molecule: ribosomal RNA, 799 nt
Filed under: Micromonospora sp.
Lineage: Bacteria; Bacillati; Actinomycetota; Actinomycetes; Micromonosporales; Micromonosporaceae
Description: bacterial SSU rRNA
Rfam family: Bacterial small subunit ribosomal RNA
Source: RNAcentral